RNAcentral lists this ribosomal RNA (253 nucleotides) under uncultured bacterium. RNAcentral describes it as "partial 16S ribosomal RNA". It matches the Rfam family "Bacterial small subunit ribosomal RNA", at positions 524 to 776 of the family's 1533-position model. The record is from RNAcentral.
UACGUAGGGUCCGAGCGUUGUCCGGAGUUACUGGGCGUAAAGCGCGCGCAGGUGGUUCACUAAGCCCGGCGUGAAAGCCCCCGGCUCAACCGGGGAGGGUCGUCGGGGACUGGUGAACUUGAGGGCGGCAGGGGCUGGUGGAAUCCCCGGUGUAGUGGUGAAAUGCGCAGAUAUCGGGAGGAACACCAAUGGCGAAGGCAGCUCGCUGGGACGUUACUGACGCUGAGACGCGAAAGCGUGGGGAGCAAACAGG